RNAcentral lists this transfer RNA (89 nucleotides) under Ewingella americana. RNAcentral's name for it is "tRNA-Leu". The stretch from base 7 to 75 matches the Rfam family "tRNA", at positions 7 to 64 of the family's 71-position model. From Rfam's summary of the family: Transfer RNA (tRNA) molecules are approximately 80 nucleotides in length. Their secondary structure includes four short double-helical elements and three loops (D, anti-codon, and T loops). The record is from RNAcentral. Lineage: Bacteria; Pseudomonadati; Pseudomonadota; Gammaproteobacteria; Enterobacterales; Yersiniaceae.
GCCGAAGUGGCGAAAUCGGUAGACGCAGUUGAUUCAAAAUCAACCGCCGCAAGGUGUGCCGGUUCGAGUCCGGCCAUAUUAUUUCUGCG